RNAcentral lists this unclassified non-coding RNA (7444 nucleotides) under Haliotis rufescens (red abalone). RNAcentral's name for it is "speract receptor-like, transcript variant X2". Lineage: Eukaryota; Metazoa; Mollusca; Gastropoda; Lepetellida; Haliotidae. The record is from RNAcentral.
CUGGAGGAAGCGAGCACUCCCUUCAUAGUCUUCAUAGAGCACUGGCUGUAGCAUCGAUCGGCGUCGGAGGCCGUACCAGCGGAGUUCGCCUGGGUAGACUCUCGCUCAGUUGGCCAACUCCCACUUGGUCGACAGUCCUUGCAGUCACAGGGAUGCUACCACACCGACGGACCAGGGCUUGGAGGUUCUGCCUCCCCCACGUGGCCCCGCUCCUAUUGUGUGUCAACCUGACAAUUGGAAUACUACCUGUGGACGCCAAAAACAUCAUCAAGAUUGGCUACGUUACUGGGUCCGAACCCCCGCAGAAACCGCUAGUACUGUACAAACGACCCGGCCAUUUAAUUUCGGGAGCUUUAACUUAUGCCAUUGAGGAAGUGAACAACGACUCGUCAAUUCUUCCUAACUAUACCCUGGAUUAUGUUAUCGCCGAGACACAUGGAGAGGAACAACAGAGUAUCAAGGAAACUGUGUUAUUACGGGAGAGGAAUAUCUCUGUGUAUCUGGGCCCACAGGAAACAUGUGUCCACGAGGGCAGAAUAGCGGCGGCAUUCAAUUUACCGAUGAUAUCUUACUUCUGUGCCCAGACAGAGGUGAGCAACAAGCAGCUAUACCCGACCUUCGCCAGGACGAAGCCGACAGAUUUCCAGAUCUCCAAGAGUCUGGUGUCCAUCCUGAAGCUGUUCAACUGGAAGAAGGUCACUUUCCUCCACAGUGACAAGACGUCCUAUGUGGACACGGCAGACACUAUAUGCAAGCUGCUGAAGGAGUACGACAUCAACGUUACUUUUCGCCGAGGCUACACCAGCCCCUACUUCCACCAACACACGGAGAACCCAUUCAUCAAGAUCGUUGCGGAGACAAAGACCGACACUAGAAUCUACGUGAUGCUCGGCCACUACUACGAGUUCAUGGGACUCAUGGACCACCUGUAUGAAGCCGGACUCCUCGACAGCGCAGAAUACUUCGUGGUGGGCGUGGAGGUCAACCAGUUCGAUCCCAUGAAGCCCCAGAAGUUCAUGGAAGGUUUGUUCGACACUAACGUGACAAGACGCAGUGCAGCAGCCUUCCGCCACUUCGUCAGCGUGGUCACCUCGCCCCCCAUCAUGCCCGACUUCUCCAACUUCAGCAGUGUCGUCAAUCACUAUCUGGAAGCCCCGCCCUUCAACUACACAAACCCCUACAAGGAACUUGGAGGGAUAAAAGCUAUUCUACCGGAAGCUGCGUAUCUUUACGACGCAGUGUGGUUGUAUGCACGUGCAACGCAAAAGGUGCUCGAAAAGGGGGGUGACAUCAACGAUGGGCGAGCCAUCAUUGAGCAGAUCAUGGGGAUGACCUACAAAAGUGCACUCGGCUACAUAAACCGUAUCAACUCCAUGGGAGAUGCAGAGGGCAACUUUUCCUUAAUUGCAAGGCAACCAAUACCCGACAGGCCCGAUGAGUGGGGCUUGUUGCCCGUUGGUGUGUUCCGUUUGAAUGACAACAUCUCCGAGCUGCCGACGUUUCAUUUCUACGAGGGCGAGAAGAUACACUGGAUCUCCGGAGAACCCCCCAGGGACGAGCCGGAGUGUGGGUACAGGCACGAGAAGUGUAUCCCUCCGAAAAUUGUAAGGGUGAAUGGAAAAGCCUACACGAAGGAGAUUCUGAGCGGCGUGGCCGGGGGCAUCCUGCUGGUGGGUUCCUUGGUCGGCUACCUCAUAUACCGUAACUGGUCCUAUGAACAAGAACUGGCCAGUCUGCUGUGGAAGAUCGACUUCAAGGAUCUACAGUUUGGGGACAACAUGUACCAGCCCCAUGGGGGUCAGCGGAGCAAGUGCAACCCCUUAUGUAAGAGCGGCAGUCAAAUAUCUCUGACGUCGCAGGCCGACUUCGACACUCGGCAGCUAUUUACGCACGUCGGCUCAUAUCGUGGCACCAUCGUCGCCAUUAGGAAGAUCAACAAAAAACACGUGGAGUUAACAAGGAAUAUACGGAAGGAAUUAAAAAUUAUUCGCGAGCUGCGGCACGACAACAUGAACCCCUUCAUCGGGGCCUGCAUUGACUCCCCCAACAUCCUCGUCAUCACGGCGUAUUGCGCCCGGGGGAGUUUACAAGACAUCCUGGAGAAUGACGACAUGCAGCUAGACGCCAUGUUAAUAGCCUCCCUCGCAUUUGAUGUUGUCAGGGGCAUGAUCUACCUGCACGACAGUGAGAUGAAGAGUCACGGCAAGCUCAAAUCGUCCAACUGUGUGGUUGACAGUCGCUGGGUGCUGAAGAUCACAGACUUCGGUCUGCACGAGUUUGUCUCUGGGGCUGAGGACGACAUGGGCGACUACGCCUUCUACAGGAAUCAGCUGUGGCGAGCCCCGGAACUUCUGCGGAACAAGCGCGCCCCCUGUCGGGGUUCGCAAGAAGGGGACGUAUACUCCUUUGCCAUUAUAAUGUUUGAAAUAUUCGGUCGGAAGGGACCCUUCGGGAACAUAGACUUGUCCCCUCAAGAAAUUAUCGAGAGGGUUAAGUUUAGUUACAGUGGUGUCCCCUUCCGGCCCCAUCUAUCCCAGCUGGGCCAGACCCACAAGUUCAUCACAGACCUCAUCAAGGAGUGCUGGGAUGAGGACCCCUUUAAACGCCCGGACUUCAAGGUCAUCAGGUCGAAACUCAAGCCCAUGCAGAAAGGGAUGAAAUCCAAUAUCUUCGACAACAUGCUUGCAAUUAUGGAGAAAUAUGCAGAUAAUUUGGAAGCACUUGUGGAGGAGAGGACUGACCAGCUUAUAGAAGAGAAGAAGAAGACUGAAGAGCUCCUGCACCAGAUGCUGCCCAGAAUUGUAGCCGACCAGCUGAUGAGGGGCAAGCAGGUGGAGGCGGAAGCCUUCGACAACGUCACCAUCUACUUCAGCGACAUCUGCGGCUUUACGCAACUAUCAUCUGAGAGCACACCGUUACAGGUGAUCGACCUCCUCAACGACCUGUACACGUUGUUUGACGCCACCAUCGAGUACUACGACGUUUACAAGGUGGAGACUAUCGGUGACGCUUACAUGGUGGUCAGUGGGCUCCCCAACAGGAACGACAGCCACGCCGGAGAGAUCGCCUCCAUGUCGCUCCAUCUUCUCGAGGCCAUCAAGAAGUUCCGCAUGAAGCACCGGCCAGACACCCUGAAGUUGCGGAUUGGCCUUCACUCCGGUCCCUGCGUGGCUGGGGUGGUGGGCCUGAAGAUGCCCCGCUACUGUCUAUUCGGGGACACUGUCAACACUGCGUCCAGAAUGGAGUCCAACGGGGAACCAUUGAAGAUUCACUGCUCGCGUCAAUGUGCAGAGCUCCUCCACAAAAUAGGUGGCUAUACAAUCGAAGACAGAGGCUUUAUCACACUGAAGGGCAAGGGCGAGAUGAGGACGUUCUGGUUGACGGGGGAGGAUGAGGAGAAGCGCCACCACCGGUUUAAGCAGCUCGCUCCUCUCGACACGACCCCAUUGUCGUCCGCGGGGUCCUACAGACGUCUGGUGGGAGUCCACUACAAGGAGCCAAACAGCCCCUUCCGGGAGCAGGGUUCCCCGGGGGCCCCAGAGAAGGCGACACUGCCCAAUGGCACCACUGUAAAUAAUCAGAUUCCCUCCUUUCUUCACCCACACGGACUUUUCUCGGGCCCCAGCAGUGCGGAGUUGCUGCGCAGGUCCUCGUCCAGGCGGCGGAGGCUCAAGUUUACUGUGGGUUCUGAAGAUGAGGAGAUGAAGGAAAAUCCAGCGGAGUACCAAAAGACGAAUGCAACAGUUGAAACAACACCUCUCAUAUUGAGGAAAACUGACACUGGAGAGGAAAAUAUGCUAUUUUCUAGAUGCACAAGUAGACUGUAGCAGUGGGGUGAUUUAUGGGGGAACUGUGUUGUGUAUUCCCGAAAACUAUAGGUAAAUUCUGUUGGUGUAUUCCUGAAAAAUGUGGGUGAAUUCCUGGAAACUGUGGGUGAACUGUGUUAGUGAAUUGCUGGCAACUAGGUGAACUGUGAUGGUGUAUUCCUGAAAGCUGGUUUAUUUAUUCCUGGGAACUGGUUGAACUGGUUGGUGUAUUCCUGGCAACUGGUUGAACUGGUUGGUAUAUUCCUGGGAACUGGUUGAUGUUUUCCUGGAAAUUGGUUGAACUGGUUGGUAUAUUCCUGGAAACUGGUUGAACUGGUUGGUAUAUUCCUGGAAACUGGGGUGUAUUCCUGGAAACUUUUUGAACUGGUUGGUGUAUUCCUAGAAACUGGUUGGUGUAUUCCUGGGAACUGGCUGAACUGUUUGGUGUAUUCCUGGAAACUGGUUGGUGUAUUCCUGGGAACUGGUUGAACUGGUUGGUGUAUUCCAGGAAACUCGAGGUGUAUUCCUGAAAACUGGUUGAACUGUUUUGUGUUUUUCUUGGAAACUGGUUGAUGUAUUCCUGGGAACUAGCUGAACUGGUAAGGAUGAAGGAAAAUCAAGCGGAGUACCAAGAGACCAAUACAUUAGUUGAAACAACACCUCUUAUACUGAGGAAAACUGACGCUGGAGAGGAAAAUAUGCUAUUUUCUAGAUGCACAAGUAGACUGUAGCAGUGGGGUGAUUUAUGGGGGAACUGUGUUGUGUAUUCCCGGAAACUAUAGGUAAGUUCUGUUGGUGUAUUCCUGAAAAAUGUGGGUGAAUUCCUGGAAACUGUGGGUGAACUGUGUUAGUGAAUUGCUGGCAACUAGGGUAACUGUGAUGGUGUAUUCCUGGAAACUGGGUGGUGUGUUCUUGGGAACUAGUUGAACUGGUUGGUGUAUUCCUGGCAACUGGUUGAACUGGUUGGUAUAUUCCUCGAAACUGGGGGCGUAUUCCUGGAAACUGGUUGAACUGGUUGGUGUAUUCCAGGAAACUCGAGGUGUAUUCCUGGAAACUGGUUGAACUGUUAGGUGUUUUCCUUGAAACUGGUUGGUGUAUUCCUAGGAACUGGUUGAACUGGUUGGUGUAUUCCAGGAAACUCAGGGUGUAUUCUUGGGAACUGGUUGAAUCCGUUGGCAUAUUCCUGGAAACUGGCUGAACUGGUUCGUGUAUUCCUUGAAACUUGGGAUGAACUUUGUUGAUGUAUUCCUGAAAACUUUGGGUUAAUUCUGCCUUAUUUGAAAAGUCAACGCCUUGAUUGAGAAACCUGAGAUCUUGCAAGUGUUCCCCUGUGGUACCUGGUAUUUAUCGAGAUUUAAUUACCCAACGCACAGGAGCCAUUGGGUGUGUGGAUUAAUAUGUACGGCUGACAGAAAUGUGGAGAAAAGUCCUCAGGGAUGAAGUCUGGGUUGAGAACUCAGAGAUACAUUUAUCAUUGAUGAUGGAUACAGUCAUCAGUAAUUCAAUGCUCAAAAGGCGUCCUCGGUUUGGACAACUGUGAGAUAUGUGAAGAGCAUAAGGAGGUUUCACCAGUAGCUCCUCAUUAUAACCACUUUAGGCUUUUUGAGAAGCUGUGUUUGACCGGUGAAGACUUCAACACAGGAUGGUGGAAAUCAGUGUUUGACCUGUGAUAACUUCAAAACCGGAUGGUGGAAAUCAGUGUUUGACCUGUGAUAACUUCAAAACAGGAUGGUGGCAAUCAUUGUUUGACCUGUAAGGACUACAGUACAGGAUGGUAAAAAUCUGUGUUUGAUCUGUCAGGACUACAGUACAGGAUGGUAAAAAUCUGUUUUUUGAUCUGUGAGGACUACAACACAGGAUGGUGGAAAUAUGUGAUUGACCUGUGAAGAAAUGCAACACAAAGUAGUGGAAGUCUGUGGUGCCACAGGGGUUGCCUCACUGGGACUGUGUCAUGGUUGCCAUCACUAGGACUGUGAUAUGGUUCCCAUCAUAAGGGAAAGUAUCAUGGUUGCAAUCACCAGGAAAGUGCCAUGGUUGUUAUAUGGUUGCCGUCACUAGGACAGUGACGGCUGCCAUCAGUACGACUGUCAUGGUUGCCAUCACUAGGACAGAGGUGGUUGCCAUGACUAGGACUGUGUCAUGGUUGCCAUGACUAGGACUGUGUCAUGGUUGCCAUGACUAGGACUGUGUCAUGGAUGCCAUGACUAGGACUGUUUCAUGGUUGCCAUGUCUAGGACUGUGUCAUGGUUGCCAUGACUAGGACUGUGUCCUAGUUGGCAUCACUAGUACUGUGUCGUGGUUCCCAUCACUAGGACUGUGUCAUGGUUGCCAUCACUAGGACUGUGUCAUGGUUGCCAUGACUAGGACUGUGUCGUGGUUGACAUCACUAGGACUGUGUCAUGGUUGUCAUCACGAGGACUGUGCCAUGGUUGCCAUCACUAGGACUGUGUCAUGGUUGCCAUCACUAGGACUGUGUCAUGGUUGCCAUGACUAGGACUGUGUCGUUGCCAUGACUAGGACUGUGUCGUGGUUGACAUCGCUAGGACUGUGUCAUGGUUGCCAUGACUAGGACUGUGUCAUGGUUGUCAUCACGAGGACUGUGUCAUACGGUUGCCAUCACUAGGACGGUGAUACGGUUGCCGUCACUAGGACUGUGUAGAGGUUGCCAUGACUAGGACUGUGUCAUAUGGUUGUCAUCACUGGAACUAUGUCAUACGGUUGCCAUGACUAGGAUUGUUUCAUGGUUGCCGUCACUAGGACUGUCAUGGUUGUCAUCACUGGGACUGUCAUGGUUGCCAUCACUAGGACGGUGAUACGGUUGCCGUCACUAGGGCUGUGUCAUACGGUUGUCACCACUAGGACUGUGUCAUACGGUUGUCAUCACUAGGACUGUUUCAUGGUUGCCGUCACUAAGACUGCCAUGGUUGCCAUCACUAGGAAUGUGAUGCGGAUGCCAUUGGGAUGAAUGCAUGUGGUAACAGUCACUAGUGGUGUGCGUACAUGGAAGGGCGGGAACAAUAUCCGUAUCUUCGAUCUGUACAAAUGGAUAUCGUUGUUGCGAUAUAAUCACAAUUAAUCUGUAUAUACGGAACCAUAUAAGCGCUCUAUUCACCUUUUAAGUGUAUAUAUGAAGCGUACUAGCGCUGUAUUUACAUUAUAUUGUAUAUACCUAUUGACGUAUUUAAGCGAUAUAUUACAACAUUGUGUAUAAAAGCGAGUUUGUGCCAUCUGUGCCGGAUCUCUGCUGGCGCCCAACACACGAAUCUGUGAUUGACAUGUUAAUAUCCUCGUCCUUCAAUUCGUGUAUUUUUAUUUUGAAAUGAAAGAAACCGCCGUCAUAUAGCUGGAAUAUUGCUGAGUGUGGCGUUAAACAACAAACAAACAAAUAAAUGUAAGGACAAGCAGCAAGUAGGGUAGGCUGUUAUGUUUCAGGUUUUCCCAAACUUUAACCGUCGCCUCUGCCUGUGGUUAUUCUAAAGAUUAAUUUUCCGUGGACUUUCCUGUCGUUCCAUUUUCUUCCAAAUGGCGUCAGGCAAUGUCGUUACAAGUUAGUUCAAAGAGCAAUGUCACGAGAUAAAAGAAACACAAUCUUUCUCAAAAUGUAUUAUUGCAUUGGCCAUUAAACCUUUUCUACGUUG